RNAcentral lists this ribosomal RNA (253 nucleotides) under uncultured bacterium. RNAcentral describes it as "partial 16S ribosomal RNA". It matches the Rfam family "Bacterial small subunit ribosomal RNA", at positions 524 to 776 of the family's 1533-position model. The record is from RNAcentral.
UACGAAUGGUGCAAGCGUUGUUCGGAAUCAUUGGGCGUAAAGAGUUCGUAGGCGGGACAAUAAGUCAAGUGUGAAAUCCCAAGGCUUAACCUUGGACGUGCAUUUGAAACUGUUGUUCUUGAGUUUCGGAGAGGGUAGUGGAAUUGCUGGUGUAGGGGUGACAUCCGUAGAUAUCAGCAGGAACAUCAGAGGCGUAGGCGACUGCCUGGCCGACAACUGACGCUGAGGAACGAAAGCGUGGGGAGCAAACAGG